This 364-nucleotide transfer RNA is filed under the name uncultured Microcystis sp. RNAcentral describes it as "partial 16S-23S ribosomal RNA intergenic spacer". The stretch from base 135 to 208 matches the Rfam family "tRNA". The record is from RNAcentral. Lineage: Bacteria; Bacillati; Cyanobacteriota; Cyanophyceae; Chroococcales; Microcystaceae.
AAAGGGAGACCUAAUUCAGGUAGGAGACGAAAAAAAGUAGUCCCUACCAAGAAUCAAUCCCAAAAGGUCGGAGCGAGGCAAAAUUGGCUUUCAAACUAGGUUCUGGGUUCACAUAAGACCUGAAUCAGGAACAAGGGCUAUUAGCUCAGGUGGUUAGAGCGCACCCCUGAUAAGGGUGAGGUCCCUGGUUCGAGUCCAGGAUGGCCCACCUGCACAGGUGGCAAAAACAAAGAAAAAAAGCUCCGAAUCAGCACCUUAUCUUACUUAUAUAGUAAGAGAGAAUGCUGGCUCUGAGUACAGAGUCCAGAGGAACCUUGAAAACUGCAUAGAGCUAGGUGAAAAAGCCAAAAAAGAAGACCGCAAG